RNAcentral lists this long non-coding RNA (534 nucleotides) under Manihot esculenta (cassava). Its description in RNAcentral is "long non-coding RNA (MESC_LNC010467)". The record is from RNAcentral. Lineage: Eukaryota; Viridiplantae; Streptophyta; Magnoliopsida; Malpighiales; Euphorbiaceae.
AAGAUGUCAAUGUUAUGGAGAGGUUAAUAAGUAUAAAAAGAUGCUUUCUCUGCCCCUUUGGGUAAGGGACGGGCAUCCUUUUUCUCAUUUAGAGGAACGAGUUUUCCUCUUCUAAUUUUAGGUGGGAUUUGGUUGCAUGCAGGUGGACUUACUGAUUUCUCUAAUAAUGGAUGUUUGCAUGCUUCAGAGGAGAGGUGAUGUUUCUGUCCAAACAACCACUUUUUUUCUUCUAAGCUCUUCUCUAUCAUUUUUUUGAGUUUCGGAUGGUUGUUUAUCGGUUAUUAGCAAUGGAGAUCUUUGAGUUAAUCGUGUUUGAGUUAAUCGUUCUUUCAUACCUCAGUAUGUCUAUAUUCUAUAAAUUACUUAGAAAGGAUCUUUAUUCAUGGUUGUGACACUAGAUAUCUCAAAGGCUUAUAGUUAUUUUUUUUUUCUGUGGAUCGGUUGUCCUCAAGGUGCGAAAAAAGUCGUUGGUGAGUUCUAAUUCAAUGUCACCUCCCUUACUUGGAUGAUGCUCUGUGUUCAUGGUUGGAUGCU